ACAAGGUUUCCGUAGGCGAACCUGCGGAAGGAUCAUUAUCGAAAUCGAAAGCCUAGGAGAAAGGGGGGGGGAUGCGGGGCUGUCGCUGGCCUCUUUGGCAUGUGCACGCGUUGGUCCCUCUCCCGCCUUCGAAGCUUUCAACUUCUCAACACCUGUGUGCACCCGCUGUAGGUCCUUCGGGACCUAUGUCUUCUCUUCCGAACUCGCAUGUCUACAGAAUGUGUAUGCGUCGCGUUGGCGACUGCGAAACCUUUGUACAACUUUCAGCAAUGGAUCUCUUGGCUCUCGCAUCGAUGAAGAACGCAGCGAAUCGCGAUAAGUAAUGUGAAUUGCAGAUUUUCCGUGAAUCAUCGAAUCUUUGAACGCACCUUGCGCUCCUUGGUAUUCCGAGGAGCAUGCCUGUUUGAGUGUCAUCGAAAUAUCGGACCGAAUGACUUCGAUGCUGUCGGAGCUCGGUUUCGGAUGUUGGGAGUGGUGCGGGCGGCAACGUCGGCUCUCCUCAAAAGCAUUAGCUGUGGGCGCGAGCCUCGCAUGGCACGGCCGCUUUGACGUCGUAAUGAUCGUCGUGGGCUUGGAAGUGCGUGGGUUGACGUGUCUCCACGCUUCGAAACCUUCUGCGAGUCCGUCCGUCGUCCGGACGGUCGCACGUAUCGAUGCUUGACCUCAAAUCAGGUAGGACUACCCGCUGAACUUAAGCAUAUCAAUAAGCGGAGGAAAAGAAACUAACGAGGAUUCCCCUAGUAACUGCGAGUGAAGCGGGAAAAGCUCAAAUUUCGAAUCUGGCGGUCCUUGGCCGUCCGAGUUGUAAUCUAGAGAAG
Molecule: ribosomal RNA, 818 nt
Filed under: Scleroderma bermudense
Lineage: Eukaryota; Fungi; Basidiomycota; Agaricomycetes; Boletales; Sclerodermataceae
Description: eukaryotic LSU rRNA
Rfam family: 5.8S ribosomal RNA (bases 259-413)
Source: RNAcentral